This 255-nucleotide ribosomal RNA is filed under the name uncultured bacterium. RNAcentral's name for it is "partial 16S ribosomal RNA". It matches the Rfam family "Bacterial small subunit ribosomal RNA", at positions 524 to 776 of the family's 1533-position model. The record is from RNAcentral.
UACGUAGGGUGCGAGCGUUAAUCGGAAUUACUGGGCGUAAAGCGUGCGCAGGCGGUUCGUUGUGUCGGCGGUGAAAGCCCCGGGCUUAACCUGGGAAUGGCCGUUGAAACUGGCGAACUGGAGUGUGGCAGAGGGGGGGGUGGAAUUCCGCGUGUAGCAGUGAAAUGCGUAGAGAUGCGGAGGAACACCGAUGGCGAAGGCAGCCCCCUGGGCUAACACUGACGCUCAGGCACGAAAGCGUGGGGAGCAAACAGG